UGCAAAACGAGUCGCAAGGACAAAUUUUGCGGUUUGUUAAACGCACGGCUCGCGAAAUAUUUGAAACGUUAACUUUGCUACUUCUUUCCGUAAAAUCUAUUUGCAUCCUUCAAUUUCGUUCGCGCAUACAUGAAUUUACUCUUUUAAUUAUUCGUUUAUGCAUUAUGCGUUAGUUCAGAUUAUGGAUUAGUUUGGAAAAUUACGAAGCAGAGACGUUAGUAAGCGGCUGUGAAUUUUUUCCAAAUUUUUCGGUGACCGAAGCAUUGCGACUAUUGGAGAUAAACGAAAUAGACUGGAAGGUACCAUGAUAUGACGCGUAGCGUGAAAAUGAAAUAUUACCAAGAGUUAAGACUGAAACACAAAUAUUCGUAGCUUUCGACACACCUAAUUGUCGAUUACCAACCAAAUAAAACAGCGAGUUAUCAAACCAGUGCUAAAAUACACGAUAUUCUACGAUAAGAAUAAAGUUCCAAGGACAAUCUGAAAUUUUACGUACACGAACGUUUGUUAUUUAAUUGAGCAACUUUUCAAAUAUCCAGAUAAGCAGAAUAUCAAUUAUACGAAGAAGAGAAGCAACGUAGAGAAACGAGAACGAGCGAUAAACUUAAUUCCUGAAACGACGAAUUGCUGUUCGGAGAUUUAGAACACGCCGCCUUGAUAAUAACGCGAAUAGCGUGGAAUAUUCGUGUGAAUAAACAGAAGGACAAGUCGCUAUCUAAAAUUAUGGGAAAAUAUAAUAAAAUUCGACGACCUUGUUCAGUUUCCGUUCAUAUAUCGAUACGACUUUCUUAUAAGCAGGAUCAUUGACUGAAAUCCUACGUGCUCGUUAUUAUACUUGUUAUCCUUGGACGUGUUUGUAUAGGAAACUUGCAUUCUUUUCCAUCCAUUCAAAAAGUAUGCAAAGUUGCUGCGGCGCAAUACAAAGCACGUUUCUCGCACGUGUCGCGAUACAUCAGCCAAGAUUGCACAAAUGUCAAAUUAACUAUCGAUAUUUCUCAUCAGACGCUUCUUUUGUCCAUUAAUUUCAUAGAACGAGAAAAACAAAAGAGAUACGAGAAUAAUCGAGCGUAUCUUAAACGAAUGCAAAUUCUACAUGGUUCCUCUCGCGAGUUAAACGAAACAACUGUAAUGGUUCUUGUUCGAUUAACGCGAUAUUUAAUGUAACACCCGUGCAUUAAAUUUCGUAUAAAUUGUAUUUGUUCGUGUUCCUACGAGCAAAUGGAAUUAAAGUUUCAAGGAUGAGAUUAAAAUACGAAAAAGAAAGAAACUAGAUAUUAAAUGUUAUUUUUAAUUUUAUUGGGUAAUCCAUCGAAUCGAUAGACGAUAUGGAUAAUUGCCAAACGUUAACAAUGGACCAUCGACGAUAAUGACUGAGGCACAAUGGCUUCGUAACGUAGUAGGAUAAACACGAAAUGCAACGUGUUAAUGAUCUUAACUCGCGGAGUUUGCAAGAUAUUAUGGCGAACAAUAGAAAUUUGCAUAUUUCUAUCAUUAUUCGUCGUAGUAAUGAUCGUGAUAAUAAUCGUGAUACAUGGUAGUAUCGCUAAUAGCAGUAGGUAUUGAUUUAUGUAUAGGAAUCAUUUCUAAAGUUAAGAAACAUUUCCAUAAAAAUGUUAUAUCUAGAUGCGACUAUCAAAGAUACUGCAUAGAGAUACUUUCGGCAGAAUCAACAUUGACUUUUAUUCGGAUAAAAACACGAUCAUAUUUUCCUACAUAUUUUCAUUUGUCAAACGAAUUAAUAGAAAUGAAUUGUAGAUUUAAAAUGACAAAUAAUUGGAAAAAGUUUAGCAGAGUAAUUUUUGUACACAGACCGGACGAAACUAACGGAAAUAAACGGAUAGAAUUAUGAACGCGAACAAGAUAGGAGAAAGAAAAGUAAAGAUCUGUGCUUCGUCGAAAAUCCGAGUAUCUGGUGACAGCAUUGCUUUCGAGUAUGUCUGAAAAUUCAAAAAUGCUUGAUGCAAUUUACACCUUGUUAAGAUAGCUGUACAUAAUCCUCGAAAAACGUUAUCUGUACAAGAUACAACUUGUAUUAACGUAGAAUCUUGACACGCGGAAUCGAUAUGGUAGCUACGUCUCGAAAUUAAAUAACAGUAACAGAUAUCGCGUUUAUCUUAAUUGCCGUAUAACUGCAUCCUUGUCCAGGUAAGGUAGCAACAGUAAUAAAAGCUUGAGAAAAAGAUAAUCGAUAAUCUUGAAUGAAAAUAUCAAUAAAAUCGUUCAUAUACCAUUGCGAGUAUCGCAUAAUUCGUAUAAGAAAACCUGUCACGAGAUCGUCACGGUUCUACUGUCAAGAGAGAAGCUUCGACUUAUCGCUAUCUAACGAUAAUUUCGCUUCUUUGAAUAUCGAUAGUCGUGGAUCAAAUCUAUUGGGUUGGCAACUAAGCGGUUGCGGAUUUUGUCAUUGCCACCUAUUGGGUUGGCAACUAAGUGAUUGCAGAUUUUGUCAAUAGGUGGUAAUGACAAAAUCUGCAAUCUCUUUGUUACCAACCUAAUAACAGAAGUGAAUUCUGGAUCGGCAGCGAUACAAUUAAAAGUUGUACGAUUGUCGAGGCAAGAACGAAUGGAAAAUGUAUUAUAGACCGAAAUUUUAAAUAAAAUUAAAAUACGUGUUAAAAUACGUUGCUUUUCUCUUAAGAUGAUUAAAUUUGAAAAUUCUCUAGACACGCUUCCAUUCGGUCGAUAGUUCAUACGAAUUUGUGCCUUUACGAACGCAUCUAGAGAAACAGAACCUAAACAAAGAAUAUUAGAAUCGAUUAAUCGUAAUAUCGUGCUUGUCGAGUAGCGUAAUUUUGUUCGUUAGUGGUUGAUUAAUACAUGCUGAUAAAUAACUUACUUUCACAAUCAAAAUCGACAAGUUCGAGACAUGUUACUCUUCGAACGAGACGAUAUAGACUGUAGAGAAUCGUAAAUGCGGAAUGUAAACAUAAAUUAUAUUUAUGAAUGAUGGUGGCAGUGAUGCAAACAGUCAACAUCAACAGAGCCGACUCAUAACUUCGCCGACUGUCACUCGAGAUAUUUCACACGACUCGUGUGUGUAAUUUAACCAAAUUAAAUGCACGCCUGUGUAUUCAAAUAUGUACAAGAGCAUCGAACAAAACCAACUUCGUACGUGGAAUAAACAUAAAACGACUUGCAAGUGUACAAAGAAAAGCGCGUCUCCUUCGCUCGUUUAAACACGUUCGUUCUAUGAUUUUCGCAGUUAGUUUUAAUUCAUCGAUGCCAUUCGAACCUACGCGUUUCUACGAUACUACCGACACCUUCGCAGAAUUAUAAUUAACUGCUCGAAUAAAUGUAUCGGAACGUACGGUGAGAACGAAAUCUUAAAGAGUAAUAACUGAGACGAAAUUAACCGUGAUAUUAUACCAGUAAAAUAUCUCAUUGACUUUCGAUUUUCACUAUUUUCCGAAGAUAACAGCUCUUUCGUAUUUAUACUUCUUCGCUACUUUUUGAUACGGAAAGCUGAAAAUAUUCGGUACAGUUCUUUCGCGAUGUAACUACUCUUGUUAAAAGACGUUGAAACGUAUGGGAAGAGGAAUGGAAGAUUUUUCCAGAAGAAACCGAACGUGAACGAGAGUUGUUUUUCUUACGAAUCCUUCGAUUAAAAUACUUUGUAUCCUCGUGUGACAAUUAAAUUUAUUUUAAAAUA
Long non-coding RNA from Bombus huntii, 3649 nucleotides. RefSeq lists it as uncharacterized. The transcript is spliced from 2 exons. NCBI's taxonomy places the organism in Eukaryota, Metazoa, Arthropoda, Insecta, Hymenoptera, Apidae. The record is from RefSeq and is a predicted model, not a curated record.